GAUUUCAAACCAAAAGGGCCCUCAAUUCACUAUUCAAUAAAUUGAAAGCUAUCCUUGCUCGCCAAGUUGAUUCAAAAAAAGCCUCUAUAAAUAUCCCUCUCAAGAUCACCCAAACCACCAACCAAUUGAGUACAUAUCAAUCUAUAUUUGUAGUCCACAACAUAGACAUCUAAGAUUUUCUUAAGGCAAUGGCAGCUGGAUACGGUCUUGCUGAAAUCUACGUGAUGAAGAAGCUUCACAAGGAGAAAAUGAAGACAAGGGAAGAGGAAGAAAGAGCCAACAUGGAUGAGAUUGAGUUCGAAGAGAAAAAAUCAAGUGGGUGUUUCUUCUGGGCUUUUAAGAAAAUUCAUCAAAGCAAUUCUCCUCAGAUAAUCGAUGUUCCUAGAAAAGAACUGGAAACUUGGGAUUAUAAUAAAGGUCGAUAACUAUAUACAUUGGCAACUAUGUUGUGGUGUAUAGAUUAGCAUUGGCAGGUGCAUUAUUGGAAUUGUCUGGAAAGGUUUCACUUUCAGAUUAGGAAAUUCAAUUUUGGUGUUUGUGGAGCAUCUAAGAUCCCAAGUGGUUGAGCAAGCGUAGAGAGUGUGUGGGAGAGGAGUGUUUGAUCUGAUUUCUUGUUUGAUUUUUUGAUGAAACGUGUUAGAGUAACAAAAAAAUUAAAGAUUGGUUACGGAGCAUAGACGGAAUGAACCACGGGUGGGUAAAGUGUCAAAAAUAAAACCACAGGUAGGCAAGUUAAAUUCGGGCUAAACCACAUGUGGGUAAUCUGUAAUUAUUCUUUAUUUAUAUACAACCCUUUUUAAA
This is a long non-coding RNA of Quercus lobata, 801 nucleotides long. RefSeq lists it as uncharacterized. The transcript is spliced from 2 exons. The record is from RefSeq and is a predicted model, not a curated record. NCBI's taxonomy places the organism in Eukaryota, Viridiplantae, Streptophyta, Magnoliopsida, Fagales, Fagaceae.